This 491-nucleotide ribosomal RNA is filed under the name uncultured bacterium. RNAcentral describes it as "partial 16S ribosomal RNA". It matches the Rfam family "Bacterial small subunit ribosomal RNA", at positions 30 to 508 of the family's 1533-position model. The record is from RNAcentral.
AUUGAACGCUGGCGGCAGGCCUAACACAUGCAAGUCGAACGGUAACAGGAAGCAGCUUGCUGCUUCGCUGACGAGUGGCGGACGGGUGAGUAAUGUCUGGGAAGCUGCCUGAUGGAGGGGGAUAACUACUGGAAACGGUAGCUAAUACCGCAUAAUGUCGCAAGACCAAAGAGGGGGACCUUCGGGCCCCUUGCCAUCGGAUGUGCCCAGAUGGGAUUAGCUUGUUGGUGGGGUAACGGCUCACCAAGGCGACGAUCCCUAGCUGGUCUGAGAGGAUGACCAGCCACACUGGAACUGAGACACGGUCCAGACUCCUACGGGAGGCAGCAGUGGGGAAUAUUGCACAAUGGGCGCAAGCCUGAUGCAGCCAUGCCGCGUGUAUGAAGAAGGCCUUCGGGUUGUAAAGUACUUUCAGCGGGGAGGAAGGGAGUAAAGUUAAUACCUUUGCUCAUUGACGUUACCCGCAGAAGAAGCGCCGGCUAACUCCGUGC